GAUGAACGCUGGCGGCGUGCCUAAUACAUGCCAGUCGAGCGAACGGACGAGAAGCUUGCUUUUCUGAUGUUAGCGGCGGACGGGUGAGUAACACGUGGAUAACCUACCUAUAAGACUGGGAUAACUUCGGGAAACCGGAGCUAAUACCGGAUAAUAUUUUGAACCGCAUGGUUCAAAAGUGAAAGACGGUCUUGCUGUCACUUAUAGAUGGAUCCGCGCUGCAUUAGCUAGUUGAUAAGGUAACGGCUUACCAAGGCAACGAUGCAUAGCCGACCUGAGAGGGUGAUCGGCCACACUGGAACUGAGACACGGUCCAGACUCCUACGGGAGGCAGCAGUAGGGAAUCUUCCGCAAUGGGCGAAAGCCUGACGGAGCAACGCCGCGUGAGUGAUGAAGGUCUUCGGAUCGUAAAACUCUGUUAUUAGGGAAGAACAUAUGUGUAAGUAACUGUGCACAUCUUGACGGUACCUAAUCAGAAAGCCACGGCUAACUACGUG
RNAcentral lists this ribosomal RNA (497 nucleotides) under uncultured bacterium. Its description in RNAcentral is "partial 16S ribosomal RNA". It matches the Rfam family "Bacterial small subunit ribosomal RNA", at positions 28 to 507 of the family's 1533-position model. The record is from RNAcentral.